This 207-nucleotide ribosomal RNA is filed under the name uncultured bacterium. RNAcentral describes it as "partial 16S ribosomal RNA". It matches the Rfam family "Bacterial small subunit ribosomal RNA", at positions 568 to 774 of the family's 1533-position model. The record is from RNAcentral.
CACGUAGGCGGUUCGUUAAGUCGGAUGUGAAAGCCCUGGGCUCAACCCAGGAAGAGCAUUCGAAACUGGCGGACUGGAGUAUGGAUGAGGGUCGCGGAAUUCCCGGUGUAGAGGUGAAAUUCGUAGAUAUCGGGAGGAACACCAGUGGCGAAGGCGGCGACCUGGGCCAAUACUGACGCUGAGGUGCGAAAGCGUGGGGAGCAAACA